UCGAAAAAUCGUUUCUAUUCCGUGCGAAAAUCACGUUUCCCUUCUUAUAGUUACAGCAGCGAGCGAAAGGAAUUUUAAAAUUGGAAUUUACGCACUUGAGUAUUUGUAACUUUUGUACCAAAUAGGCAGAUAUUCAAGUUGUUUCCUGUUACCUGAUUGUGUACAAAGCGGUCUUCCGACGGACGAACUUGCGUGAUAAGACGAGUAUAAUAAAUACAAGGUGAUGGGCGGUUCCCUUAUCUUCUGAUUGCGGUAGGCUCAUUUAAAAAAGAACGCUUCUCUCAAGACUAUAAAUGCACAGCAAUUUGUGGAAUUUUUUGCGCGUAUAAUUGUCGUUUCUGAAUUUG
Bombus terrestris (buff-tailed bumblebee) is the source of this 347-nucleotide long non-coding RNA. RefSeq lists it as uncharacterized. The transcript is spliced from 2 exons. The record is from RefSeq and is a predicted model, not a curated record. Lineage: Eukaryota; Metazoa; Arthropoda; Insecta; Hymenoptera; Apidae.